UUCUUCUUCCCUCCUCUUCUAUGUACUUUUCCUAUCUUCUGUUUCAUUUUAUUUUCUAUUUUAUUUUCAUUCUCGCUUCUUUCUUUCCUUUCCACUUCUUUCGUUUCCCUCCUGUCUUUCCAUUCUACUCUCACAUCCACUUCUGUCUUUUCCCAUCCAUCCAUUCCACUCCUGUAUCUAUUUCUGUCUUCUCUCUCCCUUUUACUUCUUUCUGGCUAUUAUACAUUCCUCUUUUAAGUUCACUUUUGUCUUUCCCUCUUCUUCUUUCGAUCUUUCCAUUCCAAUCACAUUUCUUCUUCUGUCUCCGCCUUUCUCCUUUCCUAUUCCACUUAGUAUUCACAUUUGACUUCCCUUACACCUUUUCUUCUUUUAGUCUAUUUAAUCCACUAUCAUAUUCACUUCUGUCUCCUUCUUUUCCCUUUUCUCAUCUCUGUCUUUCAAUUCCACUCUUAAAUCAACUUGUAUCUUCCCUUUUUCCCUUUUCCUCCUUCCCAAAUUCCCAUCCACACUCAUUUCAACUUGUCUUCCUCUUCCUUCUUAUCUCAUCUCUUAUCUCUCCAUUCUACUCAUAAAUCUACUUCCAUACCCCUCUUUCACCUUUCUCUUCGUCAUCCCCAAGAUCGCGGACCGCUUGGCCAAAUACGAGGCAGCCAUCAAGUUACAGACGGACAUCAUGGUCAACAACAUCCUUGGCCGGGGCAUUGACAUCCACCUUCUGGGCCUGAGGGAGAUGGCCAAGGAAAUGGGACUGCCGACGCCUGAGAUCUUUGCCCACGACUCCUACCGCAUCGCCAACCACUUCCGCCUUUCCACAAGCCAGGUGCCCACGCUGUCAGACUCCUGGAUGGGGUACGGCCCGGUGGUUCCCGACGGCUACGGCGCCUCCUACAACCCCCACCCGGACUACAUCGUCUUCUGCCUCUCCGCCUUCAAGUCCUGCGAGGAGACUUCGACCCUCGAGUUCGGGCGUAACCUCGAACGCGCCCUAGACGAGAUGAAGGUUUUGCUGGAGAAUCGAUCGGUGUAAGCGGAUAAAAGGCGUCAGCAGGCUGGUAAAGGUGAGGGGAAACACGCCAGCCUACAUCCACCUACAAACGGGCAAAUCCUUAACUGAAGGAGUAACUAGAUGACGUAGCAACCAUCUGUUUCUACCCAGUCUACUACCCUGACAUAUGGUGCGCAGAGCUUUCACAAGUAAAGAUUGAUCGGGACGUAAGUUAACAUGCCCCGCGUCCUCAGUCCCUCCUCCAGCCGGUUAUGCAACUGUCUGAACCAUCGCCUGAUACACAUAGGUUAAAUGAAUACAAAAAAAGAUCGCAUUAUAUAGAUUUAACAUCCCCAGCGGCCUCAAUCCCUCCUUCAGCUUAUUCUUGAACUGUCUGAACCAUCGUCAAUAGGUUCAAAGAAUACAAAGAGGGAUCGGAAUACGCUGUCAACAACCCCCGCUGCCUCGAUCUCCAGUAACUGUUAUAUAAGCUCCUUCUGCUGAUCCCUGAGCUGCCGGUGUAGACGUUUCAGGAUACUCCCCCUAGACAUGACUCCCGGAGUCUCUUGAAACUAGUUUUAAAGCACUCCCCAGUCAAUUGAAACUUGUUAGAUAGCACUCCCCAGUCAACUGAAAUUGGUUUCAUAUGACUCCCCAUCAGGUUGAAAUGACUCACAUUAUUGGAUGAAAAAUAUUUAUUGAUGUUGACUCCCAUACAACACUAAUCAGUAAUCACACUACAGUACAUUAAUGUUGUCUCCCAUCCAAAAGCUAAUCACUAAUCAUGUGCACAUUACACACGAAUAACUACAUUAAAAUGAUUGCCUGCUUUAUUGUCGAGGUACACUGACUCGUUUACUACUUCUCUGCAUUUCGGCCUAUGUAUAUGCCAUGUGUGCAUAGAACCGAACUUUGCCCACACACAUACAUUCACAUGGAACAUGUUGGCUGCUGGUAACAUCUCUGUUGUUGUUCCCCACACUCUAUUUUGACGCACUGAUUCAACUUUGAUGUUUUCAGUGCUGACAAUGAAGUCACAUAUCAAGCUUCUGACAACGUCGUGUUGGUCCUCUUCUCCAGUGAUGGCAUAUGACAAUGCACGAAAAAGACAGCAGAUGUAAUGUUGCGCAACCAAUAUCUUUGCAUUAUGCGAUCAAUGACCUUAUCCUUACCAACGUGGCCUCCCAGAUCAACAGCUUCGUCGGUGUCACCAGCUCCUCGGUGACUGGCCAGCACAAUGUCGAGCUGGUACUGGCGAUCCUUAAUCACCCGAAGGAAGCGACCUUCUGCAAUCAUAUGUAAAAAUAUCAAACUAUAGGUCAUUACACCAUUUGGCUGCACAGGUGUUUCACCAGUAAAGUAUAAAGAAAACGGGAAGCGAAACGUCAAACACUCUAGUUAGAUUCAGAAACACCAAAAAAACUUCAAACAAGGUUCAUUCGACUACAGAGUCAUUUCAAACAGGUGGGGAGUCGUCUGAAACAAGUUUUAAGUCAACUGAACCUAUGUACAGUAGGUUCAUUCGACUACGGAGUCAUUUCAAACGGGUGUGGAGUCGUCUGAAACAAGUCUCAAGUGACGGGGAGCCGACUGAACCAGUUUCAUCUGACUGGGGGAGUCUUCUGAAACAGGGAGUAAUUUGAAACGGCUACACCGGAACCAUCACCGUCUUUUAUGGACAUUCAAUACCACUUUACAUUUCAAUCGUUCCUCCCUGCGGGGCUCGAGGUACGAAAAAGGAACGGUCGUGAGUGUCGAGGCGUCUCUGUUGACACACUCACCGGAUAACGAACGCCUCAAUCACUACGGUCGGUGCUGUCACACGCUUCCAACCUUCACUUUAACUAUUUCCAAAGGCCGAAAAGGAGAUCAAUCGGGUUCUCAUGAGUGUAUUUUUAGGUUUAUGUUACAGAAGAAGGUCAAACUACCAGAAGGGUCCGAAAACUACCCCUGGAUAUGCCCCAAACUCCUAUAAAAGCCUUGCCAAAUAUGUGUACUGGAGCUCCGGAAUGUUUAAGAAUAUAUGACACUCAGACGCUUCCAUCCCUUAUAGCAACUAUUUCCAAAGACCAAAACGGAGAUCAAUCAGGUACUCAUGAUUGUGUUUUUAGGUUCAUGGUACGGAAGAAAGGUCAAACUACCAGGAAGGUCCUCAAAAUACCCCUGGAAAUACCCUCAAAACCUAUAAAAGCCCUGCCAAAUAUGUGCUUGUGCGCCGAAAUGCUAAGAAUACCUGUCUUUUGGCGAAUCUUAUAACUCCUUGACAUACCUAGGUACGGUUCCCCUAUCGAAGCAGCAGCAAGGCUAAUCGUAGGCGGCAAUGCUUCAUAAUUACUCAGUGACAUAUCUAUAUACACGCACGAACACUCCAAUUGAAGAAGCAGCGAGGAUAGUAGUAGUGGGCGGCAAUGUUUCUCCACUAACAAAAUAACACUGACUGACCACAUUGCAUAUAUAGAAAGCCAACUCACUCUUUUCAUUACUGCCAACACGAGAGCUUCCCCGUUCGAUGAGGGGGCGAGAAUCUUUUCGAGCGGCGAUAACCUUUUUGAAAACAUGCAAAUCUUCGUUUGGUGAAGAUGUAUACGAGAUGACAAGCUAAUCCAGGGCAAUGAAGAGCAAUACAGUUAGCCUACAGGUUUCUUAUAAGUAUGUUUAGGGGAAGGACACAACUCAGACGGGAUACUUUUAGCAAUACUCAGAUGGAAUAUUAUGACCUACAUUUUUUAAUUCAGGAAGCGUAAGGGUUAAGAGCAGCCAAGUGAGAGAAGGAGAAAGAGGGAGAGAGGAAGGAGGAGGAAAAAGAAAGAGAGGGGAAGGAGAAUGAGGAAAACAGAGGAGAAGGAGAAGGAGAAAAAGAGAGAAAGAGGAACGAGGAGGGAAACAGAGGGGGAGGAGGAAGAGGAAGAGAAUGAGGAUAAGGAAAAAGAGGAAAAGAGAGAGAGAGGGGAAGGCAUAUUUAGCCUCAAACAGAUAGACAGACACACACACAUACACAAUCUCCCAGGCACAGCGCUCUCCAGACCCUCCCCCCCCCCUACACACACACCACACCUACCCUAUCAAGUGUGCCAUUCCGUUGAUCCAUAUAUAUUUCCUUUAUGUCUCUCGUGGUGGCCAUUCGUCGUUAAUCUUGACACGGCAGAAUGGUGAUGGUGACGUGUUUUUCUCUUCCUUUAACUGCAAAACGAAAUAAAUUAAAAGGAGAGUCAAAAUAAUAGUAGAAAAGAAUGAAAGAAAGCAAUACAUUUGUAGACUAAGCGGCGUGUGUUUAAAAAUUUAUGGAUGAUUGAGUUAUACGUUUUCUUAAAGGCUGAAGAGGAGAAACUACUUAUCAUAUGUAUUUUAAUAGUGGAAAAGAUUAAGAAUAAGACAAAAAGCGUGUUAGAGAAUAGAAGUAACAAUAUAAUAGGCAAGGAAACAAAGCUCGAACACAUUUAUAGGAAAAAAAUAUAGAAAGAUUACGAAUGGAAAGAGGAAUAAGAGGACAGUAAUAUAUAAAAUAAUGACAGUGGAAGAAAUCUCAAAUGAUUACAUAUAAUAUAGAGUAAGAUUACCAAUGGAGGACAAAAGGGUAUAAUGGGAAAUAAAAUAAUGCCCAUGGAUGCUAAGAAGAUAAAGCAGGAGUUGUAUAUAAAAUGAUAACGGCGGAAAAACAUAUCUAGUACUGACUUGUAAUAUAGAGAGAGAGCUUCGAUAAGGAAAAAAACAAGAGGAAAGGGCGAAAAGUAGAACAAUGCCGAAGGAUGCUAAGAAUUCAAUAGAGAUUAGUGAAGGAGAAAACAUUGAAAAGUAGGACAGUGCCGAAGGAUGCUAAGAAUUCAAUAGAGGUUAGUGAAGGAGAAAACAUUGAAAAGUAGGACAAUGCCGAAGGAUGCUAAGAAUUCAAUAGAGGUUAGUGAAGGAGAAAACAUUGAAAAGUAGGACAAUGCCGAAGGAUGCUAAGAAUUCAAUAGAGGUUAGUGAAGGAGAAAACAUUGAAAAGUAGAACAAUGCCGGAGGAUGCUAAGAAUUCAAUAGAGGUUAGUGAAGGAGAAAACAUUGAAAAGUAGGACAAUGCCGAGGGAUGCUAAGAAUUUAAUAGAGGUUAGUGAAGGAGAAAACAUUGAAAAGUAGGACAAUGCCGGAGGAUGCUAAGAAUUCAAUAGAGGUUAGUGAAGGAGAAAACAUGAAACUCUUGGCCUUGAAUGAAAACAAUUGUGAUAGGGAAACCGGUGACCUUUACAGAGUGGAUAGGCCUCGGUAGUGCGGGCCGUGCGUGUACUUAUUUUAAUCUGGUUAUAAUGCAUUUUCUCAUUAAUUAAGAUUAUACGCUCCUCUGACAUUUACUUUCCUUCUUCGUGUCCUUCAUAAUCUCUUUUUUUCUUAUCUUUUCUUUAUUGUUUUGUCCCCUACAGAAUUCCUCUCCACGAAUCACAUUCCAUAGAUCAGCAUAUAUUUUAAUUCUUCGUAUUUUUUCAUCAUUAUUCCCUUUUUCAUCAUAAUUCACCUUUUUUUCCUUCCCUUUUUCCUUUUUUUUUUAUUUCUAGAACAAUUCCUCUCCACUUAUGACAUUCCAUAGAUAAGCAUAUGUUUUAAUUCUUCGUAUUUUUUCAUCAUUAUUCCCCUUUUCAUCAUAAUUCACCUUUUUUUCCUUCCCUUUUUCCUUUCUUUAUCUCUAGAACAAUUCCUCUCCACAUAUGACAUUCCAUAGAGAGACAUAUAUUUUCCUUCCUCGUAUUCUUCGUUAUUUCCCUUUUUCCUUUCUUUUUUUUCCUUCCUUUAUCUCCAACACAAUUCCACUCCUUAUAAAAUCCCUCCAUUAUCAUUAUUUCAUCCUCAGCGACAGAGUGAGAACGAAAAGUAUUAAUUUAUCGUUGACGGAGCAGAGAUCUAAUUAUUAAAGAUUUAAAUUAAAAUAAGAAUGUUAAGAUUAGAAAGAUCUUAUUAAAAAACCCUCUUUGUUCAUUGUUGUCAAAUGUAAUAUAGCUAUACUUUGUCAGUCGUAUUUUUUUU
Molecule: long non-coding RNA, 5980 nt
Organism: Eriocheir sinensis (Chinese mitten crab)
Lineage: Eukaryota; Metazoa; Arthropoda; Malacostraca; Decapoda; Varunidae
Exons: 5
Source: RefSeq, a predicted model, not a curated record